Molecule: ribosomal RNA, 369 nt
Filed under: uncultured phototrophic eukaryote
Lineage: Eukaryota
Description: SSU rRNA
Rfam family: Bacterial small subunit ribosomal RNA
Source: RNAcentral
UACGGGGGAUGCAAGCGUUAUCCGGAAUCAUUGGGCGUAAAGCGCCUGUAGGUUGUUUAUUAAGUCUGUUGUUAAAGACUAGGGCUUAACCCUAGAGAAGCAAUGGAAACUAAUAGACUUGAGUAUGGUAGGGGUAGAGGGAAUUUCUAGUGUAGCGGUGAAAUGCGUAGAUAUUAGAAAGAACACCGGUGGCGAAAGCGCUCUACUGGACCAUUACUGACACUCAGAGGCGAAAGCUAGGGUAGCAAAAGGGAUUAGAUACCCCUGUAGUCCUAGCCGUAAACGAUGGAUACUAGAUGUUGCGCAUUAAGUGCAGUAUCGUAGCUAACGCGUUAAGUAUCCCGCCUGGGGAGUACGCUCGCAAGGGUG